Molecule: ribosomal RNA, 1358 nt
Filed under: Cyanobium gracile BEA0851B
Lineage: Bacteria; Bacillati; Cyanobacteriota; Cyanophyceae; Synechococcales; Prochlorococcaceae
Description: bacterial SSU rRNA
Rfam family: Bacterial small subunit ribosomal RNA
Source: RNAcentral
CUGGCGGCGUGCUUAACACAUGCAAGUCGAACGAGCCUUCGGGCUAGUGGCGGACGGGUGAGUAACGCGUGGGAAUCUGCCCUCAGGAGGGGGAUAACGGCCGGAAACGGCCGCUAAUACCCCAUAUGCCGAGAGGUGAAAUGAAUUUCGCCUGAGGAUGAGCCCGCGUCUGAUUAGCUAGUUGGUGGGGUAAUGGCCCACCAAGGCGACGAUCAGUAGCUGGUCUGAGAGGAUGAUCAGCCACACUGGGACUGAGACACGGCCCAGACUCCUACGGGAGGCAGCAGUGGGGAAUUUUCCGCAAUGGGCGAAAGCCUGACGGAGCAACGCCGCGUGAGGGAUGAAGGCCUCUGGGCUGUAAACCUCUUUUCUCAAGGAAGAAGACAUGACGGUACUUGAGGAAUAAGCCACGGCUAAUUCCGUGCCAGCAGCCGCGGUAAUACGGGAGUGGCAAGCGUUAUCCGGAAUUAUUGGGCGUAAAGCGUCCGCAGGCGGCCUUGUAAGUCUGUCGUUAAAGCGUGGAGCUUAACUCCAUUUCAGCGAUGGAAACUACAAGGCUUGAGUGUGGUAGGGGCAGAGGGAAUUCCCGGUGUAGCGGUGAAAUGCGUAGAUAUCGGGAAGAACACCAGUGGCGAAGGCGCUCUGCUGGGCCAUAACUGACGCUCAUGGACGAAAGCCAGGGGAGCGAAAGGGAUUAGAUACCCCUGUAGUCCUGGCCGUAAACGAUGAACACUAGGUGUCGGGGGAAUCGACCCCCUCGGUGUCGUAGCUAACGCGUUAAGUGUUCCGCCUGGGGAGUACGCACGCAAGUGUGAAACUCAAAGGAAUUGACGGGGGCCCGCACAAGCGGUGGAGUAUGUGGUUUAAUUCGAUGCAACGCGAAGAACCUUACCAGGGUUUGACAUCCUGCGAAUCCCUUGGAAACGAGGGAGUGCCUUCGGGAGCGCAGAGACAGGUGGUGCAUGGCUGUCGUCAGCUCGUGUCGUGAGAUGUUGGGUUAAGUCCCGCAACGAGCGCAACCCACGUCUUUAGUUGCCAGCAUUCAGUUGGGCACUCUAGAGAGACCGCCGGUGAUAAACCGGAGGAAGGUGUGGAUGACGUCAAGUCAUCAUGCCCCUUACAUCCUGGGCUACACACGUACUACAAUGCUACGGACAAAGGGUUGCAAGCUCGCGAGAGUUAGCUAAUCCCAUAAACCGUGGCUCAGUUCAGAUCGUAGGCUGCAACUCGCCUACGUGAAGGAGGAAUCGCUAGUAAUCGCAGGUCAGCAUACUGCGGUGAAUACGUUCCCGGGCCUUGUACACACCGCCCGUCACACCAUGGAAGUUGGCCAUGCCCGAAGUCGUUACUCCAACCCU